UUUUUUCUUAAAUAAAAAUAGGUGGUGGACUUACAGUUGUCAGCUCCUGGUUUAGAGGAUUAACUUUAGAAUGAAAGGUCAAAGUGUAGCUGUCUUAAGAGGACCAGAGCUGGAGUUAGCUGCAGCUCUUCAUGACUGUUGUUCCUUUCUGAAGUUAUAAAGAAAUUAAGGUUUCUUGUGGAGGAGCCCUUUCCUGUCUCCUUUGGUUAAUACCUCCUGAAGACCAGUGGACAGUGUUUCUCUUUGGCAUCUGUUUUGUUCAUUUCCUUUCUGCACUCUUAUUCUAAAUAUGGAAGAAUAAGCUCCAGUUUUUCUAGUAACUUUCCAUUAGGACAGGUGUCUGAAGUCAAAUUUCCUGCCUUUGCUAAUGAAUUUUGAAUAAGCCAACUAGUAGUUUUAAGGUUCAUAUGCUUUGCUGUGUUCUUGCAUGUCUCAGGAUAAUAUUUUCCUCAUUGCAAGAAUGUGUCACUGUUGAAGACCUGUGCUAGCUAUGGUCCUUGUUAUUUGUAGUGCUACCCCACCUGACUGGGGAGCAAUCCCUGGAGAUCCAGCUAUUUUUCAUGUAACAGACCUAACCAGCAUUCUAGCAGUCAUAGUAGAUAUUUAUCUUCUAAUGAUAGCCACUAAUCACAUGUGGCUAUAAAAUUUCUCAAGUUAAAAAUACAGUUAUAUUCAAAUCUGCAUUUCAAAUGCUUAGUAGUUGGGGCUGGG
RNAcentral lists this long non-coding RNA (711 nucleotides) under Marmota monax (woodchuck). Lineage: Eukaryota; Metazoa; Chordata; Mammalia; Rodentia; Sciuridae. The record is from RNAcentral.